RNAcentral lists this signal recognition particle RNA (90 nucleotides) under Lelliottia amnigena. RNAcentral's name for it is "Bacterial small signal recognition particle RNA". It matches the Rfam family "Bacterial small signal recognition particle RNA". Rfam says of the family: The signal recognition particle (SRP) is a universally conserved ribonucleoprotein involved in the co-translational targeting of proteins to membranes. Lineage: Bacteria; Pseudomonadati; Pseudomonadota; Gammaproteobacteria; Enterobacterales; Enterobacteriaceae. The record is from RNAcentral.
UUGGUUCUCCCGCAACACUACUCUGUUUACCAGGUCAGAUCCGGAAGGAAGCAGCCAAAGCGGAUGACGUGUGUGCCGGGAUGUAGCUGG